AACGCGACCCCAGGUCAGGCGGGGCUACC
This 29-nucleotide ribosomal RNA is filed under the name Griffonia simplicifolia. Its description in RNAcentral is "partial 26S ribosomal RNA". Lineage: Eukaryota; Viridiplantae; Streptophyta; Magnoliopsida; Fabales; Fabaceae. The record is from RNAcentral.